GUUAUAUGCUUCAAAUUAAGAAAUGGAAAAGAGCAGUGAAGUGAACUCCAAGGCCACUGAAGACCGCGUAACGAUUGAUAUUAAUGAAAUGCUUACAAAAAUUCAAUCUCAUAAAUCCUCUGUUGGUUGCAUUUUCAAAGUGCCUAAUCAACUCCGAAGCGUUAAUGAAGAGGCAUAUGAGCCGCAGAUAAUUGCAAUUGGUCCUUAUCACCGCAAUAAAUCUCGUUUAAUUGCCAUGCAAGAGCACAAAAUACGAUAUCUUCGUAGCUUCCUUCAACGAAGAAAUGAGAAUGAUGUAUCAAGGUAUGUCCAGAUCAUAGGAGAGUUGGAAGAAAAUGCUCUUAGAUGUUAUGCAGAAACUUUAGACCUUACCGAAGAUGCUUUUGUAGAAAUGAUGCUUCUUGAUGGCUGCUUUAUUAUUGAGUUUCUAUGCAGAAUGUAUAGAUUUGAUCCAAUAGAUCGAAUAGACGUUAUUAUAGGGUCGAAUCAUAUGUUGAAUAGAUUAAUGGUGGACCUGUUGUUACUUGAAAACCAACUUCCAUUAUUCAUACUUCAGAAGUUGCUCGUCCCAAACAUCACAGAAGUGGAAUUCAUUCGGAUGAUUUUUGAUGUCUUUGGGCCUUUUCUUCCACGGCGAAUGUAUGCUCCGAUAGACAAUCUAGCAACGUUCAUGAAUCUACUGGGAUUGUUCCAUAACAUCUGGCAACCUUCCGAUGCAAGAGGAGUGAGUGAUGCUUUGGAAAAUGGUGGAAGCAAAAAAAGAUUUAUAGGCUGUGCCACAGAUCUCACAGAGGCAGGGAUUAAGUUCAAGAGUCUUGUGGAUGCUAAUAACUUGUUUGAUAUAAAGUUUAAAAAUGGAAUAAUUGAAAUCCCAGAAAUACGAAUCGGAGAUGAAACAGAGCGUCUCUGGCGAAAUCUCAUUGCCUACGAGCAGUUAACCUCUUCCCGAGGUCCACAACACUUCUCUAAUUAUAUUGCUUUCAUGGAUGACGUCAUCGAUUCUGCAAAGGAUGUGG
Molecule: unclassified non-coding RNA, 1016 nt
Filed under: Hevea brasiliensis (rubber tree)
Lineage: Eukaryota; Viridiplantae; Streptophyta; Magnoliopsida; Malpighiales; Euphorbiaceae
Source: RNAcentral